CCUACGGGUGGCUGCAGUGAGGAAUAUUGGUCCAUGGGCGCGAGCCUGACCCAGCCAAGUAGCGUGAAGGAUGACUGCCCUACGGGUUGUAACCUUCUUUUAUAAAGGAAUAAAGUGAGGCACGUGUGCCUUUUUGUAUGUACUUUAUGAAUAAGGAUCGGCUAACUCCGUGCCAGUAGCCGCGGUAAUACGGAGGAUCCGAGCGUUAUCCGGCUUUAUUGGGUUUAAAGGGAGCGUAGAUGGGUUGUUCAGUCAGUUGUGAAAGUUUGCGGCUCAACCGUAAAAUUGCAAUUGAUACUGGCAGCCGUGAGUACAGUUGAGGUAGGCGGAAUUCGGGGUGUAGCGGUGAAAUGCUUAGAUAUCACGAAGAACUCCGAUUGCGAAGGCAGCCUACUAAACUGCCACUGACAUUGAUGCUCGAAAGUGUGGGUAUCAAACAGGAUUAGAUACCCUGGUAGUC
Molecule: ribosomal RNA, 460 nt
Filed under: uncultured bacterium
Lineage: Bacteria
Description: partial 16S ribosomal RNA
Rfam family: Bacterial small subunit ribosomal RNA
Source: RNAcentral